RNAcentral lists this ribosomal RNA (440 nucleotides) under uncultured bacterium. RNAcentral describes it as "partial 16S ribosomal RNA". It matches the Rfam family "Bacterial small subunit ribosomal RNA", at positions 338 to 795 of the family's 1533-position model. The record is from RNAcentral.
CCUACGGGGGGCAGCAGUGGGGAAUAUUGCACAAUGGGCGAAACCCUGAUGCAGCGACGCCGCGUGAGUGAAGAAGUAAUUCGUUAUGUAAAGCCCUAUCAGCCGGGAAGAAAAUGACGGUACCUGAGUAAGAAGCCCCGGCUAACUACGUGCCAGCAGCCGCGGUAAUACGUAGGGGGCAAGCGUUAUCCGGAUUUACUGGGUGUAAAGGGAGCGUAGGCGGCAGUGCAAGUCUGGAGUGAAAGGCGGGGGCUCAACCCCCGGACUGCUCUGGAAACUGUACGGCUGGAGUGCAGGAGAGGUAAGUGGAAUUCGUGGUGUAGCGGUGAAAUGCGUAGAUAUUAGGAGGAACACCAGUGGCGAAGGCAGCAUACUGGAGUGUAACUGACGUUGAGGCUCGAAAGCGUGGGGAGCGAACAGGAUUAGAUACCCUUGUAGUC